AGGGAUAUAGCUCAGUGGUAGAGUGCAUGCUUAGCAUGCAUGACAACCUGGGUUCCAUCCCCAGUACCUCUA
RNAcentral lists this transfer RNA (72 nucleotides) under Camelus bactrianus (Bactrian camel). It matches the Rfam family "tRNA". From Rfam's summary of the family: Transfer RNA (tRNA) molecules are approximately 80 nucleotides in length. Their secondary structure includes four short double-helical elements and three loops (D, anti-codon, and T loops). The record is from Rfam by way of RNAcentral. RNAcentral also lists the same sequence under 2 other names. Lineage: Eukaryota; Metazoa; Chordata; Mammalia; Artiodactyla; Camelidae.